Molecule: transfer RNA, 90 nt
Filed under: Candidatus Zambryskibacteria bacterium RIFCSPHIGHO2_02_FULL_38_22
Lineage: Bacteria; Candidatus Zambryskiibacteriota
Also listed under: 2 other names
Description: tRNA-Ser
Rfam family: tRNA
About the family: Transfer RNA (tRNA) molecules are approximately 80 nucleotides in length. Their secondary structure includes four short double-helical elements and three loops (D, anti-codon, and T loops).
Source: RNAcentral
GGAGGAGUGGCUGAGUGGUUGAAGGCACCGGUUUCGAAAACCGGCAUACUCGAAAGGGUAUCGUGAGUUCAAAUCUCACCUCCUCCGCCA